Molecule: ribosomal RNA, 466 nt
Filed under: uncultured bacterium
Lineage: Bacteria
Description: partial 16S ribosomal RNA
Rfam family: Bacterial small subunit ribosomal RNA
Source: RNAcentral
GAUGAGCGCUGGCGGCGUGCUUAACACAUGCAAGUCGAACGGAAAGGCUCCUGCUUGCAGGGGUACUCGAGUGGCGAACGGGUGAGUAACACGUGGGUGAUCUGCCCAGCACUUCGGGAUAAGCCUGGGAAACUGGGUCUAAUACCGGAUAGGACGAUGGUUUGGAUGCCAUUGUGGAAAGUUUUUUCGGUGUGGGAUGAGCUCGCGGCCUAUCAGCUUGUUGGUGGGGUAAUGGCCUACCAAGGCGUCGACGGGUAGCCGGCCUGAGAGGGUGUACGGCCACAUUGGGACUGAGAUACGGCCCAGACUCCUACGGGAGGCAGCAGUGGGGAAUAUUGCACAAUGGGCGCAAGCCUGAUGCAGCGACGCCGCGUGGGGGAUGACGGCCUUCGGGUUGUAAACUCCUUUCGCUAGGGACGAAGCGCAAGUGACGGUACCUGGAGAAGAAGCACCGGCUAACUACGUG